CAUCCGCUGCUGCUGGUGGUUGCGGUUGUUUUUAGUGCGAGCGUAAUUUGCACCAACCGCGGUCCUUAUGGUGGCAGUUUGUUGAGUUCCUCCGUUCGAACGACUUGCAACAUGGAGGCAGAAAGUGUGAUAUGAUGUGUGAAAAAAAAAAAUGGAGCGAAAAUUUUAUGAUCUGUGAUUUAUGGUGCAUUGGGAGGUUUGUUUAACUUUCGACAUGUUGCACUUGCUGAUUGAUGUGGUCUGGGUGAUUCAUUCCGUUAUACGUUAAAUUUAAUAUUGAAGCUCGUACAGUGAUCGCUUAUAUUUUGUGCAGCUUACUCUCGAACCAUACUUGAAGCUAAGAUGAGCUAAGUGAAUUGCCCGUGUAUAUGGGUGGGUGCGAGUGGCUAUGUAAGCGUCUGUAGCUGUGCAGUGUUAAGUGAAAAGAAGAUAUACAAUCGAAUCUAACCGACAACUCAAUCACAAUGGCAAGCGAAAACUACAAGCUGAUGCUGAUGGAUGCGACGAAUCGGUACAAUCUGUCUGCGUUCAGUACCGACACUGGUUCAUGCAUGUCACACGAGGAAGAGACGGAAAUGGUUGUGAAGGGGUGGUGGGGAGACGGGUGAAGGAGAAAUAUCUUUCGAACAACACGCCAAUCUGCCCUGAAACUUCUGCUAUCCCGCUCAUCCGGCUGUUGUGCAUCGUCAGUUUAUCCAGAACAUUCGUUGUGAAUACAUGUGCUGAGGUUAUGUGUGGUUUCUUCCGUAUUUUCCUCGUCCAUGCUUGAAGCCGCGGGCCAUCUAAUUCAAUUGUGGAAUGGUUCAUCCUAACAAAUUUUACGGUUGUUCUCGUGAGUGAUUUAAUGGAUACAUUCAUCAAAAGCUUGUCGUCUACGGCUCAUCGACGGCUACCUGAUGGCCUCAUCAACAAAGUGCACAAUCACCAGUAGAAGGAAAACGUUGUCCGAUUUUACAAUAUUCAGCUUUCAACGCAGCUAAAUCUUAGAAGAACGCACUUCAAGGACGCCACGGACGCGUCUAAUGAUGCGCGCCUAAUGAUGCGCGUCUAAUGAUGCGCGUCUAAUGAUGCGCGUCUAAUGAUGCGCAGUCGAUGACGUCAUCGGAACCAGACCAGACAUGUGCCGGCUGAAAACACGCAGCACUAGUCGACGAUAUUCUUAGGCGGUGGUUGAAAAGAAAAGCGGAAGGAAGGGUUACGAAAAAUUACCCCUUCAUUUGGAAAACAUCCUGCUGUGUACUGCGUGUGACUGGGUCUGGGUCAUACAAUUCAUUUCACGACUCGGCCCGGUGUAGGGUUAAAACCUUUCGGAAGCAAUUCCAAUCCGUGGAUGCAACGGGUGUACUAGAUCAAUGUCGGAAUCAAAUCCAACCCAUGAGUGUGAUGAGUUCGGUUCGACCUGCCCAUCAAUAGUUCAGAGUCAGCAACUCGCUUGCCUCGCUUCUCUGGUCCGUCCGACCACACAAGCCGCCCGCUUGGAUUCUACGGUGGGUUUCGCGGAAUUCUGGCCGGUGUCGAUGAGAUCGAACAACAAUUGCGGGUGCCGCCGUUCCAGACAAUUGUCCCCAAAACAGAUGCCACUCGGACAGCCUUCUGUUUGCUUCUCACACCGCACCUCUCGCUCCUUCCUCAGCCCGCCCUUCUCGUCCGUUCCUCAGACCGCGCAUCUCGCUCGUUCAAUCGAAAUGGAACCCCAUGCCAACUGGAAAUGUUCGGAGCUCAUGUCCAAGCUAUUGUUUGUUCGAAAGAGAAUGCGAGAAACCAUUUCAAAGAAA
Anopheles merus is the source of this 1775-nucleotide long non-coding RNA. RefSeq lists it as uncharacterized. The transcript has 4 exons. NCBI's taxonomy places the organism in Eukaryota, Metazoa, Arthropoda, Insecta, Diptera, Culicidae. The record is from RefSeq and is a predicted model, not a curated record.